GAUGAACGCUAGCUACAGGCUUAACACAUGCAAGUCGAGGGGAAACGGCAUUGAGUGCUUGCACUCUUUGGACGUCGACCGGCGCACGGGUGAGUAACGCGUAUCCAACCUUCCCAUUACUGUGGGAUAACCUGCCGAAAGGCAGACUAAUACCGCAUAGUCUUCGAUGACGGCAUCAGAUUUGAAGUAAAGAUUUAUCGGUAAUGGAUGGGGAUGCGUCUGAUUAGCUUGUUGGCGGGGUAACGGCCCACCAAGGCGACGAUCAGUAGGGGUUCUGAGAGGAAGGUCCCCCACAUUGGAACUGAGACACGGUUCAAACUCCUACGGGAGGCAGCAGUGAGGAAUAUUGGUCAAUGGACGGAAGUCUGAACCAGCCAAGUAGCGUGCAGGAUGACGGCCCUAUGGGUUGUAAACUGCUUUUGUAUGGGGAUAAAGUUAGGGACGUGUCCCUAUUUGCAGGUACCAUACGAAUAAGGACCGGCUAAUUCCGUGCCAGCAGCCGCGGUAAUACGGAAGGUCCAGGCGUUAUCCGGAUUUAUUGGGUUUAAAGGGAGCGUAGGCUGGAGAUUAAGUGUGUUGUGAAAUGUAGACGCUCAACGUCUGAAUUGCAGCGCAUACUGGUUUCCUUGAGUACGCACAACGUUGGCGGAAUUCGUCGUGUAGCGGUGAAAUGCUUAGAUAUGACGAAGAACUCCGAUUGCGAAGGCAGCUGACGGGAGCGCAACUGACGCUUAAGCUCGAAGGUGCGGGUAUCAAACAGG
RNAcentral lists this ribosomal RNA (761 nucleotides) under Prevotella melaninogenica. RNAcentral's name for it is "bacterial SSU rRNA". It matches the Rfam family "Bacterial small subunit ribosomal RNA", at positions 28 to 776 of the family's 1533-position model. The record is from RNAcentral. Lineage: Bacteria; Pseudomonadati; Bacteroidota; Bacteroidia; Bacteroidales; Prevotellaceae.